AAAUUAAUUUUUGAUUAAAACCGUGCAUUCUGUGUGAAUGUGUAUUUGAAUGUUAACAUUUCGUUUUUAGUUAUGUAAUCAUUUGAAAGUCCCUUCAAGUUGAAAAAGCACAUGCAUUCUUAUUAUGGCCACACCUGGCGUACUAAAUCAACUGUGAUCAGAUUGGUUAAAAAAAUAGAGGCUGCGUGUGAUUUCAGUUCCGGUUCAAUGCAUUUGUAAUGAGGGGGCGCACUUCUGUGCAGUGUGCACAUUAGUCGUCGUUGCCAGCAGGCUGCACCCGACAGCCAAGGGAUUUACAUGUGGCAUAGCAAGUCUCUGAAGCAGUGUCUCACACUCGAGUCCUGACCGAGGGCCUUGAAACUGGCAUGCCUGUUCAAAACAUCUCCAGGACAACAAGGUUAUUUUGUGUUGACGUGUAUUGAAUUCUUAAGGGCAAAGAAGAUGAAGGAGAAUGCGUGCAGUGGGCUGAAUAGAGAAUUCGUGAAUCAAAGGCAACACCAUCAAAUGCAUUAUGAAAUUAAGCACUAUCAGGUUGUCAAGGCUGUAGCUCAGCGGGCACAUGGUCCUGGAUACCUGAUAUAUAUAUAUUUUUUUUUUUAACUAUUUAUAUAUGGAAUCUGAAUGCACUCCAAGAAAUGCUGCAGUUCUUUGGGCCACAAGAGGCCAAGAAGCUCUACUACAAGAAGUUAAGGCAGAAGAUGAAGAUUAUUACAAAUUAUCCAAGUCAGUUCCGACCAAGUAAUUUGAUUGGACAAGAGGCAUUCCAGUGCUGAUAUAGAGUAUAACAGCACUGGGUCUUUUAACUAUACACGUAUCGCUCCCCUUUACGGGUGUUCUCAUAACCGUUAAUGUUAUUAACAAUCUUUUUGUAGCUUAGAUUGCAGCUAACUUUGCACAGCAAAUAUGAACAUGUUUCCAGGAAUAACAUUGGAGUUGAAUUAAGAAUGGUCGCCAGAAGAGGACCAAGGGAACCUAAUGUAAUGCUAAUGUGUUAAUGUGUUGCUUGGCAACAGUUUGACCAGUUGCGGAUCUAUUUGUGUUGGCGGAGCCAAAUAAAUCAUCAAUGAACCAAAGAAAUCUGAUCAUAAUAUGUUGUUAAUUAUUAUUGUUAACUAAUGAUUGGUGCUUGUAGAACUGUUGUAUAAAAGCAAUAUCACUCAGGAGGGAGUGCUUUUGUACUACGGCUGGGAUUCGGUCGUAGGUAUGAGGCCGUUGGCCGAGUGCCGAAGAGAAUCACAGCCGUGCUGAUAUUCAGUACAACAGCACUCUCGUGUGAUAUUGCUUAAUUAUUCUGUUCCCAAAUUCCAUAAAAAGUCUGAUUACUAAGAAAUAUUGAUGUAUCAUUACUUUUGUCAGUUUCAAGUUUUUGUUUUAACACAGGUGUACCAACAAUGUGUAUGAUGUAUGACUACCUAAGCUGUACAUGUCUUUAAAGAUAUUGAUGCAGAUAUUUCCACAUUUACAUUUCUCAGUGCAAAUGGGUUUUUGAAUAAGUUUCUGAAACUAGUGCUUUGAGAUGUUUGAGAUAACAAACAUUUAAUAUGUUGGAAAUAUUUUUGGUCGCUGGUCAGCUUAAUAUUUAAUAUAUUGUUUCUUAUGGCACAUUAACGAGAAUGUCAAACUGGCACUGAAUGUUGAAAGGUUGCUGACCCCUGGUUACUGUAUUCCCUCUCCCGCUCCAUUACAUGUAUGUUCGUUUAUUUCAAGUUAACUUGUUUUUCUGUGUUAUUACAACCUUGCAACACAUUUCCAUUAAUGUAGUUUGUUUAUUCAAAUGGGUAUUAAAACUUAAUCUUUGUCAA
Long non-coding RNA from Gadus morhua (Atlantic cod), 1802 nucleotides. RefSeq lists it as uncharacterized. The transcript has 3 exons. The record is from RefSeq and is a predicted model, not a curated record. NCBI's taxonomy places the organism in Eukaryota, Metazoa, Chordata, Actinopteri, Gadiformes, Gadidae.